UGUAUGGUUAAGUGACUAAGCGUACACGGUGGAUGCCUGGGCAGUCAGAGGCGAUGAAGGACGUACUAACUUGCGAUAAGCGCAGAUAAGGCAGUAAGAGCCGUUUGAGUCUGCGAUUUCCGAAUGGGGAAACCCAACUGCAUAAGCAGUUACUGUUAACUGAAUACAUAGGUUAACAGAGCAAACCGGGGGAACUGAAACAUCUAAGUACCCCGAGGAGAAGAAAUCAACCGAGAUUCCGGUAGUAGCGGCGAGCGAACCUGGAUUAGCCCUUAAGCACUCGGUGAAGUAGGUGAACAAGCUGGAAAGCUUGGCGAUACAGGGUGAUAGCCCCGUAACCGACGCUUCAUCGAGCGUGAAAUCGAGUAGGGCGGGACACGUGAUAUCCUGUCUGAAUAUGGGGGGACCAUCCUCCAAGGCUAAAUACUCCUGACUGACCGAUAGUGAACCAGUACCGUGAGGGAAAGGCGAAAAGAACCCCUGUGAGGGGAGUGAAAUAGAACCUGAAACCGUGUACGUACAAGCAGUAGGAGCACCUUCGUGGUGUGACUGCGUACCUUUUGUAUAAUGGGUCAGCGACUUAUAUUCAGUGGCAAGGUUAACCGUAUAGGGGAGCCGUAGCGAAAGCGAGUCUUAACUGGGCGCUCAGUCUCUGGAUAUAGACCCGAAACCGGGUGAUCUAGCCAUGGGCAGGUUGAAGGUUGAGUAACAUCAACUGGAGGACCGAACCGACUAAUGUUGAAAAAUUAGCGGAUGACUUGUGGCUAGGGGUGAAAGGCCAAUCAAACUCGGAGAUAGCUGGUUCUCCCCGAAAGCUAUUUAGGUAGCGCCUCGGACGAAUACUACUGGGGGUAGAGCACUGUUAAGGCUAGGGGGUCAUCCCGACUUACCAACCCUUUGCAAACUCCGAAUACCAGUAAGUACUAUCCGGGAGACACACGGCGGGUGCUAACGUCCGUCGUGGAGAGGGAAACAACCCAGACCGCCAGCUAAGGUCCCAAAGUAUUGCUAAGUGGGAAACGAUGUGGGAAGGCUCAGACAGCUAGGAUGUUGGCUUAGAAGCAGCCAUCAUUUAAAGAAAGCGUAAUAGCUCACUAGUCGAGUCGGCCUGCGCGGAAGAUGUAACGGGGCUAAGCAAUACACCGAAGCUGCGGCAAUGUCUUUUAGACAUUGGGUAGGGGAGCGUUCUGUAAGCCGUUGAAGGUGAAUCGUAAGGUUUGCUGGAGGUAUCAGAAGUGCGAAUGCUGACAUGAGUAACGACAAAGGGGGUGAAAAACCUCCUCGCCGGAAGACCAAGGGUUCCUGUCCAACGUUAAUCGGGGCAGGGUGAGUCGACCCCUAAGGUGAGGCCGAAAGGCGUAAUCGAUGGGAAACGGGUUAAUAUUCCCGUACUUCUGACUAUUGCGAUGGGGGGACGGAGAAGGCUAGGUGGGCCAGGCGACGGUUGUCCUGGUUCAAGUGCGUAGGCUUGAGAGUUAGGUAAAUCCGGCUCUCUCUAAGGCUGAGACACGACGUCGAGCUACUACGGUAGUGAAGUCAUUGAUGCCAUGCUUCCAGGAAAAGCCUCUAAGCUUCAGAUAGUCAGGAAUCGUACCCCAAACCGACACAGGUGGUCGGGUAGAGAAUACCAAGGCGCUUGAGAGAACUCGGGUGAAGGAACUAGGCAAAAUGGUACCGUAACUUCGGGAGAAGGUACGCUCUUGAUGGUGAAGUCCCUCGCGGAUGGAGCUGACGAGAGUCGCAGAUACCAGGUGGCUGCAACUGUUUAUUAAAAACACAGCACUGUGCAAAAUCGCAAGAUGACGUAUACGGUGUGACGCCUGCCCGGUGCCGGAAGGUUAAUUGAUGGGGUUAGCGCAAGCGAAGCUCUUGAUCGAAGCCCCGGUAAACGGCGGCCGUAACUAUAACGGUCCUAAGGUAGCGAAAUUCCUUGUCGGGUAAGUUCCGACCUGCACGAAUGGCGUAAUGAUGGCCACGCUGUCUCCACCCGAGACUCAGUGAAAUUGAAAUCGCUGUGAAGAUGCAGUGUACCCGCGGCUAGACGGAAAGACCCCGUGAACCUUUACUACAGCUUGGCACUGAACAUUGAACCUACAUGUGUAGGAUAGGUGGGAGGCUAUGAAGACGUGACGCCAGUUGCGUUGGAGCCGUCCUUGAAAUACCACCCUUGUAUGUUUGAUGUUCUAACUUAGACCCAUUAUC
Molecule: ribosomal RNA, 2202 nt
Filed under: Vibrio cholerae
Lineage: Bacteria; Pseudomonadati; Pseudomonadota; Gammaproteobacteria; Vibrionales; Vibrionaceae
Description: partial 23S ribosomal RNA
Rfam family: Bacterial large subunit ribosomal RNA
Source: RNAcentral